RNAcentral lists this long non-coding RNA (336 nucleotides) under Solanum tuberosum (potato). RNAcentral describes it as "long non-coding RNA (STUB_LNC001643)". Lineage: Eukaryota; Viridiplantae; Streptophyta; Magnoliopsida; Solanales; Solanaceae. The record is from RNAcentral.
UCCAGCGAAGCUAGAACAACUCAGAGCUCCAAGCUCCAAGCGCUCCAGCAGACAGACCCUAGUCUCCACCGGUUACAACUCCGACCACCGAAGUAGAUAAGAACCCAGCAGCCAAAAAGGAACUCCAUUUCCUGCGAAGUUUGAGGUUUCGCUUUCAAAUCUAACCAAAAUUGAUGUCAUUUUACUUCGUUUUGUUGUUCUUGCUGCUGCGCUUAGUUGUUUUUAGAUGGUUUAAUUUUUUCCGUUUUAGAUUUGGCCGGAAGGGUUCAAACUCCCCCCAAUGUUAUUUCCAUUUGCGUUUCUCUUUUUGACAAAUUUUGUUUUCUUUAACCAGCC